Molecule: ribosomal RNA, 253 nt
Filed under: uncultured bacterium
Lineage: Bacteria
Description: partial 16S ribosomal RNA
Rfam family: Bacterial small subunit ribosomal RNA
Source: RNAcentral
UACGUAGGGGACUAGCGUUGUUCGGAAUUACUGGGCGUAAAGCGCACGUAGGCGGAUUUGUAAGUCAGCGGUGAAAUCCCGGGGCUCAACCUCGGAACUGCCUUUGAUACUGCAAAUCUCGAGUCCGGAAGAGGUGAGUGGAAUUCCUAGUGUAGAGGUGAAAUUCGUAGAUAUUAGGAAGAACACCAGUGGCGAAGGCAGCUCGCUGGAACGGUACUGACGCUGAGGCGCGAAAGCGUGGGGAGCAAACAGG